GACGAACGCUGGCGGCGUGCUUAACACAUGCAAGUCGAACGAUGAAGAAAAGAAUCGAAGCUUCGGCAGAAAUUCAUUUCGGAUUAGUGGCAGACGGGUGAGUAACGCGUGAGCAACCUGCCUCUUACAAAGGGAUAGCCUCGGGAAACCGGGAUUAAUACCAUAUAACAUUGCGACGAAGCAUUUCGAUGCAAUCAAAGCUACGGCGGUAAGAGAUGGGCUCGCGUCCCAUUAACCGGAUGGUGAGGUAACGGCUCACCAUAGUGACGAUGGGUAACCGGGCUGAGAGGGUGAACGGUCACACUGGAACUGAGACACGGUCCAGACUCCUACGGGAGGCAGCAGUGGGGAAUAUUGCACAAUGGAGGGAACUCUGAUGCAGCGACGCCGCGUGAGUGAUGAAGGAAUUCGUUUCGUAAAACUCUGUUCUAUGGGAAGAAAAGGACUGUACCAUAGGAGAAAGCUCCGGCUAAAUACGUG
Molecule: ribosomal RNA, 480 nt
Filed under: uncultured bacterium
Lineage: Bacteria
Description: partial 16S ribosomal RNA
Rfam family: Bacterial small subunit ribosomal RNA
Source: RNAcentral